RNAcentral lists this ribosomal RNA (1199 nucleotides) under Salmonella enterica. Its description in RNAcentral is "bacterial LSU rRNA". It matches the Rfam family "Bacterial large subunit ribosomal RNA", at positions 210 to 1445 of the family's 2925-position model. The record is from RNAcentral. Lineage: Bacteria; Pseudomonadati; Pseudomonadota; Gammaproteobacteria; Enterobacterales; Enterobacteriaceae. RNAcentral also lists the same sequence under 4 other names.
CCCGAGGAAAAGAAAUCAACCGAGAUUCCCCCAGUAGCGGCGAGCGAACGGGGAGGAGCCCAGAGCCUGAAUCAGCAUGUGUGUUAGUGGAAGCGUCUGGAAAGGCGCGCGAUACAGGGUGACAGCCCCGUACACAAAAGCGCAUGUGCUGUGAGCUCGAUGAGUAGGGCGGGACACGUGGUAUCCUGUCUGAAUAUGGGGGGACCAUCCUCCAAGGCUAAAUACUCCUGACUGACCGAUAGUGAACCAGUACCGUGAGGGAAAGGCGAAAAGAACCCCGGCGAGGGGAGUGAAAAAGAACCUGAAACCGUGUACGUACAAGCAGUGGGAGCACAGGUUUACCUGUGUGACUGCGUACCUUUUGUAUAAUGGGUCAGCGACUUAUAUUCUGUAGCAAGGUUAACCGUAUAGGGGAGCCGGAGGGAAACCGAGUCUUAACCGGGCGUUAAGUUGCAGGGUAUAGACCCGAAACCCGGUGAUCUAGCCAUGGGCAGGUUGAAGGUUGGGUAACACUAACUGGAGGACCGAACCGACUAAUGUUGAAAAAUUAGCGGAUGACCUGUGGCUGGGGGUGAAAGGCCAAUCAAACCGGGAGAUAGCUGGUUCUCCCCGAAAGCUAUUUAGGUAGCGCCUCGUGAAUUCAUCUCCGGGGGUAGAGCACUGUUUCGGCUAGGGGGCCAUCCCGGCUUACCAACCCGAUGCAAACUGCGAAUACCGGAGAAUGUUAUCACGGGAGACACACGGCGGGUGCUAACGUCCGUCGUGAAGAGGGAAACAACCCAGACCGCCAGCUAAGGUCCCAAAGUCAUGGUUAAGUGGGAAACGAUGUGGGAAGGCCCAGACAGCCAGGAUGUUGGCUUAGAAGCAGCCAUCAUUUAAAGAAAGCGUAAUAGCUCACUGGUCGAGUCGGCCUGCGCGGAAGAUGUAACGGGGCUAAACCAUGCACCGAAGCUGCGGCAGCGACACUCAGGUGUUGUUGGGUAGGGGAGCGUUCUGUAAGCCUGUGAAGGUGGCCUGUGAGGGUUGCUGGAGGUAUCAGAAGUGCGAAUGCUGACAUAAGUAACGAUAAAGCGGGUGAAAAGCCCGCUCGCCGGAAGACCAAGGGUUCCUGUCCAACGUUAAUCGGGGCAGGGUGAGUCGACCCCUAAGGCGAGGCCGAAAGGCGUAGUCGAUGGGAAACGGGUUAAUAUUCCCGUACU